UCUGUAACCUUCUCCAAGCUAAAUAAUAUUUUCUAGCAACUCCAUGUAUUGAGUAUUAGCAAGCCUUUCUAGACACCUUGUAUUACAAUGCCUCAACAUGCAACUAAAAAUACAGUCUCUAGAUUCCUCAAGAAUUAUGGCUCCACAUGCCUCUUUUGAGUGGAGUUUGUACAAUACCUCUCCAUGUUCCAUAAGUAUUACCCCCUUCAUCCAUGAUCUUUGAUCAUUUAAGCAUUUUAUUUUUAUUCCAAAAAUUUGGUUCUUUUAGAAAAUCAAUAUGUAAUUAAUGAUGUUUUACCUUUUGUACCCUUUAAAAAAUCAAAAGCAUGUAUUAAAUAAAAUUUGUUUUUACUUAAUGAAUGAAAGGUAAAAAAGACUAAACCAAUAAAAAUUUAUUAUUUCUUAAUAUGUGUGUCCAAUGCUAAAAGGAUAAGUUUGGGGACGGAGGGAGUAUUUACUCUACUUCUCCCGGCGUUCCAUUAGAAACCGUCUAGUUUUCUCAAUAAUACUGCAACUGCUCGUUGAGAAUCAAAUGUUUAUCUAUCUCUUCAUACUUUCCUUUAAACAAAUGAGGCUAUCACUGUUGAGCCAAAUUACAAGUUUGUGUCUAACUUGACACAAAGUUUGUCUUAGGAUUCUAACUAUCGUUGAGAACAUAUUACAAUUUAAAUCUCAUAUCAAUUAAAGUAUCACUGUUCAUUUUGAACUAUUUGUGACCGAACUAGAUUGAUUUAAGAGAUUUUUAAUGACUUUUCUAAGACAAGAUAUUAUAAUUUAAAUUUCAUGUUUAAGGCUUUUCUAAUAUAUUCUUUCAAAUAUGAACAUGAUAUUUUUUUUUUCUUUCUGUUUUGAUCUUUCAGACUUUUCAUAUGAUAUUCAGUUGAUGAACAUAAUCUUAAAUAUUUUUCGUUUAAUGUAUGCAUCACAAACAUCUAGACAAUAUAAACUAUCUUAGAUAUGAUUUUCUUUGCUACUAUGGAUGCCAUCACCACUAUUGGAUUGUAUCUUCAUGAUAAUCUUUGUCAACUUUGGAUAUUAGCGUCGAUUACUUCAGUUUGAAGGAAGUUCUUUUUAUUUUUUACAUAAAAAUAUAUCCAUUGAGAAAAAGAGUCGUUUGAGAUGUGUAGAAUGUUGCAUUUGUACAUGUAGUUGUUUGACUUUACAUCUUUUUAUUGUGUAGGUUACCAAGCUACUAUGUACUUUCUAUAAGAUCUUCAGUUUCUAUAUUGUAAUGUCACAUUGUCUUGGCUUAGAGGAAGUGACACUAAUUCAUCAGAGAAAUCUUUGUUUUGUUGAUUUCUUGUUGACUCUUCUUGGAUAGUCUUCAAGUUGUACUAAAGGAAUAUUGUUAUUAAGGAAACGUUGCUUGGUUGACUGUUACAAUAGAGGAAUCUUUAGUUUUCUUGAGUUUGCUAACCCAUUGAGUUGGAGGAAUGUUUGAUAUUCGUUGUUGACUUUUCUUUAGAUGUUUGACCAAUGUUGAUUUCUCUUUUGGACACUCAUCAAUUAUUAUUCUUCUUUUCAUAUCUUCAAAUGUUUGGUGAUGAGAGGCUUUGACCAAAGCCAUUUGUUCUAUCAUCUAAUAUGUGAUUCAUAUUCAUAUUCAGAUAAUGACUUCACAUAUUAAUGUGAACG
This 1635-nucleotide long non-coding RNA is filed under the name Cicer arietinum (chickpea). RNAcentral describes it as "long non-coding RNA (CARI_LNC000433)". Lineage: Eukaryota; Viridiplantae; Streptophyta; Magnoliopsida; Fabales; Fabaceae. The record is from RNAcentral.